Non-coding RNA from Podarcis lilfordi (Lilford's wall lizard), 110 nucleotides. The record is from the annotation of a GenBank genome assembly. NCBI's taxonomy places the organism in Eukaryota, Metazoa, Chordata, Lepidosauria, Squamata, Lacertidae.
UUGCACUUUGGAACUUCCUCUCCCUCUCUUCUUCCCUUGUGUCUCCAACCGUCUGGAGCAGAUUUUGGGAGGGGGGGAGAUGAGAGGGAGGGGAAGGUCUGAGCUGCAAG